RNAcentral lists this long non-coding RNA (594 nucleotides) under Sarcophilus harrisii (Tasmanian devil). RNAcentral describes it as "lncRNA (ENSSHAG00000030266.1)". The record is from RNAcentral. Lineage: Eukaryota; Metazoa; Chordata; Mammalia; Dasyuromorphia; Dasyuridae.
GUUUGGAAAAGCAGACAAUUCUUUGAUAUUUAGAUAAUAGGAGAAGAACCUCAACUAAAGCCCUAAUAUGGCAGCUCAUCACCUUUUGGAAAGGACUGGAUUCUCAGAGAUUGUGUCUGAACAGCACAAGAGUUGACUGGUUCUAUUAAGUGGUUCUCCCUUCCAACUAUCUACAAAACCCUGCCAGCCUCAUGCUGCUGUUCCUUUAUUUCUUUAUGAAAACCUGUCCUCAAGACUCUCCAUUGAUAGAAACUCGGAGUGUUCUCCUUUCCAAGGGCAUUUUUCGUUUAAGGGCUGUCAAAACUCUAAGCAAAAGGUUUCCAAGACUAAAGAAUGCAUCAGUGAUUGUCCAGCUGCUCCAUUCUGUGAGAUUGCUCUUGAGAAAGCAGAGAUUAUAUUUUGCUCAAAUCCUGUUGUGUAUGAGCAGCGGCAAACAUUCUUCUGAGCUAGUUUGUAUUAUUGCUGGAGAGAUCCCUCUGGAUUUGGAUGCGAGUAGAGACAUCCCGAUUCUAUUGCACCAUUUCCAUAAGUGCCAAGUUUAAUGCAGACUUCUACUGCCUCUGAAUUCCAAAGCCACAACUCCUGUCUACUUCU